GGUAAAAAGGAGUACGAGGGGACAUUGGGAUGCGCGUGGAAAAACCGAAAAUGGGCACCGGAAGAACGCAUAGGAUGCUAAGAACAUGGGAUCGAAUAUGGGUCAAAUGGUCAUAACACUGUGCGAGGGACUUACUAUAUAAACCGCGCUGCGGAAAACAAAGGAGAGGCGCUAGUUUUGCUGUCGGAGAACGAAGGAAUUGGAGGCGAUGGAGACCUUCUGUUCAGGCAUGGAAAACAUCAGUAUAAAGCUCGCCAAUUUCUCCGGCGGACCACCGUGCCGCGAUCUCCAAACCCGCCUCGAUCUCGCUCUCGCUCUCCGUCUGAUCCCUCGCCGGGCGUCCAGGUCCCCCGUCGGUUUUCCGAGGUUCGUAUGCGCUUUGCCGCUGUUUGUUUCUGCGGAUUGAUCGACCCUGAAAGGAUUGCUCUGGAUUGGUUUGGUUCGUUUUUUGUGGUGUUGAUAGGAUAUCGAGGGUUUCCUUAGGGCCGUGAUCAAUCAUGUUUAGCUGGAUGCGCUGGCUUUUAAAGAAACUUAAUCUGGAGACCGACGCUCAGCGUCUGUCCACGACGAUGGACAAGUUGAACAUGGUACAGUUCCUGCGCUUGAUUUUGAGUUUUCUGCUUCUUUUUUUUUUCUUUUCAAUUGUUGAAGAAAUGGUUCUGGGUUUUAUUUUUUGGGAAAACCGACGAGCAGAUGUACUUCCUUGAGCUCCCAAUGGGGACCUGUGCCUGGGACUUUUGGGUCCAUUUGGUUCAAUUUUGAGAAAAUGGCUUUGCAUUCCUCAAAUAUCUUUGAAUGGAUGGGCAUUUUGUGAAAACUUUGAGAAAAUGGCUUUGCAUUCCUCGAAUAUCUUUGAAUGAAUGGUCAUUUUGCGAAGGCAAAGGCGUUUGGUGUAUAUUUUGCAAAGCAAUUUAAGGUGAAAAGAAAAAGAAAAGAAAAAAGGGAGGAGGAGAUGCAGCUGCGUGAAGAGGGGAAAAUCGUGGGGGAGGUGGCUCGAUAGUGGUG
This 1005-nucleotide long non-coding RNA is filed under the name Eucalyptus grandis. RNAcentral's name for it is "long non-coding RNA (EGRA_LNC007327)". The record is from RNAcentral. Lineage: Eukaryota; Viridiplantae; Streptophyta; Magnoliopsida; Myrtales; Myrtaceae.